UGUAAGUACACCAGAAGUUCUUGGUCGAAACCAUUAGCACUUAGCAGCGACCACCUUGUCCACCUCCACCCCCGUGUCCGCCUCCUCCCUUAUCACCGCCGCCUCCUUGUCCUCCAUGUCCGCCGCCUCCUUGUCCUCCAGGUCCGCCGCCUCCUUGUCCUCCAGGACCGCCUCCUCCUUGUCCUCCCGGACCGCCGCCGCCUCCUCCCGGACCGUGCAUCUUCUUGAUCUUGUUAAUUUGUUGUAGUUACACAGAGAC
Long non-coding RNA from Pyrus x bretschneideri (Chinese white pear), 259 nucleotides. RefSeq lists it as uncharacterized. Lineage: Eukaryota; Viridiplantae; Streptophyta; Magnoliopsida; Rosales; Rosaceae. The record is from RefSeq and is a predicted model, not a curated record. The transcript has 2 exons.